Molecule: long non-coding RNA, 2657 nt
Organism: Eutrema salsugineum
Lineage: Eukaryota; Viridiplantae; Streptophyta; Magnoliopsida; Brassicales; Brassicaceae
Exons: 3
Source: RefSeq, a predicted model, not a curated record
AGUAAAUCACCAUCGAUUGAGAGAGUCAAUCAAAACCACCAUCCUUCACCUCUAUUCUCGCUCACUUACGAAACAAAACUUGUUGUCUUUGACAACCUUUUUAACAAUAAGAUUUGGUGGAUUCCAAUCUUAUCAUUUGGUAUCAGAGCACAGGUUUUUAUCAAAGCUCUGCGAGGUAAACAUUAAGGAGAAGCCUCCAUGGGAGAUUCAGAGGAAGAAGAUCCUUACCAAGCCUAUGAAGACACUUGGAGUGGAGGAGAAGAAGAGCAAAUCUUCAUUGAAGAGGAUGAGGCACCAACAUGGGUAGGAGAUGACUACUAAGCUCUGAGUAUGGAGAAGAGUUUAAACCAGAGCCACAAGAUUGUAGUCAAGACGACACUGACCAAUCGAUAUGGUCCAGAGAAGAGGAAACCGACCAAGAAUACAAUAUAAAGAAAACCAUGAAAAGAUGCUUGGUGUGGAGAGACUGAAUCUCAUAUCAAUCUAGAAGGAGAAGACUACGAAAGUGAACAAGAUCAUGGAGAGAAAAAGAUCAGUUCGUGGGGCCAUACCAAAAGCCUUGGUGUGAAGAAACAGAUUCUCAAAUCAGAUAAGAAGAUGGCGAGCAGUUUGAUGAAGAGCCUUGGAACUAUGAGUCUGAGCCGGAAGAUGGUUAUGUUGAUGAGUAAGAGUUUAAAGAGGAGGCUAUAGAACCAGGCAGAGAGCACAUCAACCACUAGAGAACCAUGUGAUGCAUCAGUUGUAGAUGAAGAAGACCUUGAACCACAUCACAUUUGUUUUUCAGUUCAUAACCAAGGUUCAAAAGCUUAUCUAAUACGGGAGAGAGACAUGUGAAUUGGUUUCAAGCCAAAAACAUUCUUGAGAAAGAGAAAACAUCUUAUGCAGAAGAUACUCUAACCGAGGAGGCAUUUAGACAUUAUGAUCAAGAUGCAUACCUUCGGCUUGAAUGUGAAGCACCAGAAUCCUCUUGGGAAGAGAUGAAGCAGCUCUUACAUGACGAGUUUGAAGAAGACAUUUCAGGCAACCGACAAAGGAACUUGAAGUUCUACAACAAUCCUAAGCCAAGAAGAUGGAUUAUAGCAACAAGGCUGAUCCCAACCGUUAAGACAAAGAAAGCUCACAGAACCAAGCUAAAGAAAGUGUUCCAGAACAAUUUGGAGAGGAAGAUCAAGGCUAAGAAACCAGUUGCAGCCAACAGAAGUUACACAAGAGCAAAAUCAAUCAGUAGUAGCUCACAUGGGGAGGACAAAGCAAACACUUGAGCCAAACUGAAAAGUAAGGCUAUGUAUGUCUUCUAAAACUUUAAAGGUGAACGACACCAUCUGUUAUAGGUGCCAUCAGAGAGGACAUUUUGCUAAGACUUGUCCAGCUAGAAAAUCAGAAACAACUUCAUCAACUAAAUUGGAUAUAGAAGAAACUAUAGAAGUAGAUAAGUUGAAUUUUGAAAUUUCCAAUUCAAGAUUGAUGCACUUGUCUUUCCCGAAGUAUAAUAAUACAGGUUAAGAUCAUGGAGAGGAGCAUCACGAGGUCAAAAUCUAUCAGCCUACCCCUGAGGAAGAUCCAGUCGUCACCAGCUUCACUUCGAUCCAAUCCAAGAAGAGCCACCAGAUCACACAUUAUAUCCAAAUGCCAUGGCAUCAGGUAAGUCUGUUUCUCCAAUUUCUGAAGAUUCUAACACUCUGAAUCUUGUUACUUCCAGAAAUGUGUGAGAAAAUUACUGAAUCUGUUGCUUGUCUUGAACAACAAAACUGUGACCAAGUUAUUGCCUUACCUAAGUGAAUCAAGUUCCUCUGUUUCAAAAUAAUUCCGUGACUGUUAUAAUCCACUUGUAUCUUGUCGAGAGUGAAGAGAAAAAAGCAGGAACGAAUGAGAGGCAACAAGAACCCCAACUGAACAAUGGAGAAACAAAGUGUGAAAGAGGACAUUUCACAAAGACGAAUGAAUUUCGGCCCAAGGGAGUCUGCCACAAACCUUGGAGAGGCGUCAUUGCUUCCUUUUAGAUCAAAUAAGAACCACCAGAUGCCCAGCAUAAAUCAUAUGGGAGCCACAUACAAGCCACAAGCUGAGGUAAACAAGUUUUGAGGAAAACAAUUCUUGAAGAUAGAAGGUAUGAUACGGACAUCAACCCAUAAAAACGUCUCAUGGUGAUCUCAACACUUGGAAGAACUAGGUGCAACGGAUAUCAGGGUCGUCUAACCAAGGGUAAAUGAGAGAUGAUCUCCCUUGUUGAACAAUUUAAUGGCAAAGGGGAGAGGACUGUCAUUAAUUUAUUCUCUCUAGUCUCCUAUCCCAUCAACAAGAAGCCAUUAGAAUGUUUUGGUUCAGUUAAUUCAACUCUUAUUCGAUCCGGAACAAGAGUUACCCAAAGCAUGCUUUUCAAAGUACCCGAGAAGACAUAUGAGCAUUGUUCAGCACAAACAAAGUACAUGAUAACCUAUUCCACCCAAAGACCACUUCUAAUACAUUCCUACCUCAUCUAGAUCACGCCUCGAAGUGGAAACAGUCCGAUCAGAGUUCAGACGAAGGAGUUAUCCAGUUUUCAAAUCAUCAGGCAAACCCGAGUUUACUCGAUUCGGACAUACGCGAGCCUAUUGGAGGAUUCCGACGAAACUAGAACGAAACAAUCUAUGAAACGACUUUUUCUGGAAACUUGAUCA